Molecule: ribosomal RNA, 253 nt
Filed under: uncultured bacterium
Lineage: Bacteria
Description: partial 16S ribosomal RNA
Rfam family: Bacterial small subunit ribosomal RNA
Source: RNAcentral
UACAGAGGUCUCAAGCGUUGUUCGGAUUCAUUGGGCGUAAAGGGUGUGUAGGUGGCGCCGUAAGUCGGGUGUGAAAUUUCGGAGCUUAACUCCGAAACUGCAUUCGAUACUGCGGUGCUUGAGGACUGGAGAGGAGACUGGAAUUCAUGGUGUAGCAGUGAAAUGCGCAGAUAUCGGGAGGAACACCGAUGGCGAAGGCAGCACUCUGGGCCGGUACUGACGCUGAGGAGCGAAAGCGUGGGGAGCGAACAGG